RNAcentral lists this long non-coding RNA (413 nucleotides) under Triticum aestivum (bread wheat). Its description in RNAcentral is "long non-coding RNA (TAES_LNC014771)". The record is from RNAcentral. Lineage: Eukaryota; Viridiplantae; Streptophyta; Magnoliopsida; Poales; Poaceae.
UGAUGUGGCCAGUGAAUGCCACCCUCUAAAUUUAGCUAUCUAUGGCAUCAAUUCUGAGUUCUGAAAGCUGGCUGUUAAAGAUGAAGUGGUGAUGUGUUAUCCAUGGUUAAACUAUCAUAGCUAGCUCCGUGAGUUUUAUUCUCUUGUUCCUUUUUUGGCUUUAGCAUCUGGAUCACGAGGAUGCCUGUGAAGUACCUGUUGUGAAUUGUAUGUGGAUGCUGAUAAAGUACCUAUUCUGAAUUGUAUAUGGAUGCUGAUAAAUCUCAAUUACUUCAUGCCAGAAUGUAAUGUAAUUGUUGACGUACAUUGAGCCUUUUUAUUGGAUAUAUACCACUGCAGUGAAAAAUAUUGUGACUAGUUAGGGCAUCUCCAACCGCCUACAUCACAGGUGUCCACACAUGAGUCUGACCGGG